RNAcentral lists this transfer-messenger RNA (355 nucleotides) under Clostridium tetani. It matches the Rfam family "transfer-messenger RNA". Rfam says of the family: Bacterial tmRNA, also known as 10Sa RNA or SsrA, is named for its dual tRNA and mRNA-like properties. Its role is to liberate the mRNA from a stalled ribosome. The record is from RNAcentral. Lineage: Bacteria; Bacillati; Bacillota; Clostridia; Eubacteriales; Clostridiaceae. RNAcentral also lists the same sequence under 2 other names.
GGGGGCGUAAAUGGUUUCGACGGGGGCAAGUUGCUCCUGAGAAGCGAGUCGAGGGGUCCUGGGCCCGCGUUAAAAAACUGGGAAAAAUUAUAAACGCAGACGAUAAUUUCGUUUUAGCUGCCUAAUUAGUGCAGCUCGUCCUACUUGGGAGUCCCACGACCUAAGAUAGGGCGUCAAUUAGUGGGGAACCGAGCUCUACAAAGCUUUGAGUAGAGAACGGAACUUAUGAAGCUACUGAAUCUAGAAACCUGUUUAUCGGUGUCUAGAGGAGGGAAUGUUAAAAGGUAAACUGCACUCGGAGAUGCUCAGGGGUUACUGCUUUCGGACAGGGGUUCGAUUCCCCUCGCCUCCACCA